ACUUUUAUGGUGUAUAGCACAAGAAAUUUUCAAUUUCUAGGAAUAAAAUAUAUUAUUUUUAUUAAAAGUU
RNAcentral lists this transfer RNA (70 nucleotides) under Argonauta hians. RNAcentral's name for it is "tRNA-Glu". Lineage: Eukaryota; Metazoa; Mollusca; Cephalopoda; Octopoda; Argonautidae. The record is from RNAcentral.